UCUCGGUGAUGAACAAUCUAAGAUGACGAGUCCGAUCGAAAUCCAUUCGUUAUAAAAUCGUGACGACGAAACGAGGCAUUUGUCUGAGAGAA
Erythranthe guttata (spotted monkey flower) is the source of this 92-nucleotide non-coding RNA. The record is from Rfam. NCBI's taxonomy places the organism in Eukaryota, Viridiplantae, Streptophyta, Magnoliopsida, Lamiales, Phrymaceae.